This 441-nucleotide long non-coding RNA is filed under the name Balaenoptera musculus (blue whale). RNAcentral's name for it is "lncRNA (ENSBMSG00010010434.1)". The record is from RNAcentral. Lineage: Eukaryota; Metazoa; Chordata; Mammalia; Artiodactyla; Balaenopteridae.
GCAAAAAUACUAAACACAAGAGGGAGAAGGCCACCGCUCUAGCCUGAGACAUCCCCAGCUGGUGGGGCGGUGUCGGACCACGGAGAGCCGCGCCUGCGCACUACAGACUCCGAAGCCAGGGCGACCUCAGGGAGGUGGGCGGGACUGCCCGGGCAUCCGGGUCCCUCACCCCGCCCCCGCUGCAUGAAUGAGAGGCCCGGCGCCCGCCCCUCCCCCUCCGGGCCCGCCCCUCGCCGGGGCGCCGCGGGCAGUCUGCCGCUGCCACCUCAGCCCCGCUCGGUGCCGACUGACGCCCGCCGCUCACCACCCGGAGCUGACGGUCCCAACACGGUCGCCGCCGCCGCUGCCGGCACGACAGAACCUGGCACCCAGUGCAUUGUUGAAUUAGACUGAAGUGCACAGUGGUGUGUGUGAUGUAAUGUGGCCAACAACCUCUUCCAG